Molecule: ribosomal RNA, 476 nt
Filed under: uncultured bacterium
Lineage: Bacteria
Description: bacterial SSU rRNA
Rfam family: Bacterial small subunit ribosomal RNA
Source: RNAcentral
GGCGGCAUGCCUUACACAUGCAAGUCGAACGGCAGCAUGGGUGCUUGCACCUGAUGGCGAGUGGCGAACGGGUGAGUAAUACAUCGGAACGUACCCGGAAGUGGGGGAUAACGUAGCGAAAGUUACGCUAAUACCGCAUAUUCUGUGAGCAGGAAUGAGGGGGAUCGCAAGACCUCUCGCUUUCGGAGCGGCCGAUGUCGGAUUAGCUAGUUGGCGGGGUAAAGGCCCACCAAGGCAACGAUCCGUAGCGGGUCUGAGAGGAUGAUCCGCCACACUGGGACUGAGACACGGCCCAGACUCCUACGGGAGGCAGCAGUGGGGAAUUUUGGACAAUGGGCGCAAGCCUGAUCCAGCCAUGCCGCGUGAGUGAAGAAGGCCUUCGGGUUGUAAAGCUCUUUCAGCCGGGAAGAAAUCGCAUCUCCUAAUACGGGGUGUGGAUGACGGUACCGGAAUAAGAAGCACCGGCUAACUACGUG